CAUGUGUAAGUAUAAAUAAUUCUACUUUGAAACUGCGAAUGGCUCAUUAUAUCAGUUAUAGUUUAUUAGAAAAAAUGUACUACUUGGAUAACCGUAGUAAUUCUAGGGCUAAUACAUGAAUGAAUCCUCGACUUUGAAGAGGUGUGUUUAUUAGUAUGAAAACCAUAUGCUUCGGCAUGAUAGUGAGUAAUAAUAACCUUUCGUAUCGUAUGUUGACAUAACGAUAGUUCUUUCAAGUUUCUGCCCUAUCAGCUUUCGAUGGUAGUGUAUUGGACUACCAUGGCAGUAACGGGUAACGAAGAAUUUGGGUUCGAUUUCGGAGAGGGAGCCUGAGAGAUGGCUACCACAUCCAAGGAAGGCAGCAGGCGCGUAAAUUACCCAAUCCUGACAGAGGGAGGUAGUGACAAUAAAUCACAAUGCGGGACUAUUUAGUUUUGCAAUUGGAUUGAGAACAAUGUACAAGAGUUAUCGAUAAACAAUUGGAGGGCAAGUCUGGUGCCAGCAGCCGCGGUAA
This 514-nucleotide ribosomal RNA is filed under the name Blastocystis sp. RNAcentral describes it as "SSU rRNA". It matches the Rfam family "Eukaryotic small subunit ribosomal RNA", at positions 54 to 582 of the family's 1831-position model. The record is from RNAcentral. Lineage: Eukaryota; Bigyra; Opalinata; Blastocystidae.